UAUAAAAAUACUCUGUUACAAGUAAAAGUUACUGUAAUCAGGAAAAAGUGCAGCAAGUAUUGUUUCUGUAAAUAGAGAAACAUGAAAAUAGAGUCCAGAGUGACGAUCAGCUGAUUACAGAUUUAUUCUGACUGAUAGAAGUUGAGACACGUUUCACAUAAACAGACGAGCUCACCGAGGUCUGAAGGAACUCAAGCAGAAAAAUGUGGCGUGAAAAUGUCUGAAAACACAAAAAAAGGAGUCAUAGCCAAUCAGAAGGUCAGGAAGAGCACACACACGCAGUCAUGGCUAACAUGAAGGAGGUUAGCAUGUCACAAUUAAUAUCUGCUCUUCAUGUGUGUGAGUGUUAUUGGCUGUUGUCCCAUGAUGCACUGGGGCAGUGCUGAAGUCAGUCUGCUGUUGGAGGAUUUCAAAAUGAAAUCACAGAAUAAAUAGAACAGACCUUCAGAGGCCUUCAAGUAACUGAAUACUUGUCUGAAUAAUGUUGAUGCAAUUCAAGAGACAUUAAAGAAAAUAGCAAGAAACAAGAAGGGAAUUUUUCUUAAAAAAGCUCCCCAUGAGGAGAACAGGAAGGGGCGGGGCUUCAGCUCUGUGUAGUGGCCUCAGCCAAUAAGAGGCAUCCACCUGACCCAGGUGAAGACACACCAGGUGAUACAGAUUCAAGUUAAUGAAGCAACAAAACAACAAGACAUGAGACGACAGAAGGGUCACAUGCUUACGACAUAUAAUAUGAUAUAAUAUAAUGUGAAGAUAACACAUGAACUCUUUGUCCUGGUUGAGAUCAGGAUAUUUCAACACAUCCAGUCUAAGAAUCCAUGAAGCUUCAGUUUGGUUUCUGCCUGCUGCUUCGUGCUUCUGCUGCAGCUCAGAGGUAACAGCUGACAGGACGAGCAGCUACCUGCCUGAAGUAUCUGUGUCAGUGUGCUCAGCAGAGCUCAGCUGAUCAGAGACGAGGAAACACAUCAGAGUGUUGAUCCUGACUCCUCACACAGACGCACCUGCAGGUCCCAGGUGAGGCAGCUCCUCAGAGUGACGGCCUCCAACAAUCAACCAAUCAGGCGAGUGGACCAGCUGGAUAUGGACACAGCGUCCUGCUCAGUGCGCUCUGCUCCUGCAGCUCUAUAUAAGGUCGUCCAUCUCGCCAAUGGAAAGACAUGGAGGUCAGCACAGGUUACAGGUGCUGGUAUCAGCUGCUCCAUCUGCUCACUGACUCUCACAAACUACCAGUGUUGAUAAAGGAAAGGGAGCCAUCAUCGAGUUACAGUAAAGGUCUGGUGUUUAAAUAUAGCUCUGGUAAAAGGGAAAGUUGCUGAUAUGAAAUGUAGGUGUGAAUAUAAUGAUAAUGUGAUCGGCUCACACUUCAGGCUCUAUAGGCAAAUUAACACGUCCAUCACUGCGACAAACAAAUACUUUUUAUACACAAAGACAGAAAGAACAUCAUGUGUAACAUUUGCCAAAUUAAGAUAUAGGCUCAGACUGUUUGUAGACAACAUUUCAUAACAUUUAUAAAGAUUCUCCCAAAGCAAAAAGACUCAAAAUUGAGCUUUUUUUCUUCUUUCAUAAAUGGAGUGUAAAUGGUGAAAUCAGUGUAAACAGUGUGUUCAAACAGCUGAUCAAUGUUGGCAGAUAAGACUUUAGCCCUUUUGACACAGAAGCAGACAGGCUGGUACAGACAUGCUGCCACAAA
Acanthopagrus latus (yellowfin seabream) is the source of this 1687-nucleotide long non-coding RNA. RefSeq lists it as uncharacterized. Lineage: Eukaryota; Metazoa; Chordata; Actinopteri; Spariformes; Sparidae. The transcript has 4 exons. The record is from RefSeq and is a predicted model, not a curated record.